RNAcentral lists this non-coding RNA (93 nucleotides) under bovine gut metagenome. RNAcentral describes it as "TPP riboswitch (THI element)". It matches the Rfam family "TPP riboswitch aptamer (THI element)", at positions 7 to 92 of the family's 105-position model. From Rfam's summary of the family: Vitamin B(1) in its active form thiamin pyrophosphate (TPP) is an essential coenzyme that is synthesised by coupling of pyrimidine and thiazole moieties in bacteria. The previously detected thiamin-regulatory element, thi box was extended, resulting in a new, highly conserved RNA secondary structure, the THI element, which is widely distributed in eubacteria and also occurs in some archaea. Analysis of operon structures identified a large number of new candidate thiamin-regulated genes, mostly transporters, in various prokaryotic organisms. The record is from RNAcentral.
AAAACAGGGGAGCCGGAAUACCGGCUGAGAGGAAGUUGUUUUACUUCGACCCUUUUAACCUGAUUCGGAUAAUGCCGACGUAGGAAGCUUAUA